CCUACGGGUGGCAGCAGUGGGGAAUAUUGCACAAUGGGGGAAACCCUGAUGCAGCGACGCCGCGUGAGUGAAGAAGUAAUUCGUUAUGUAAAGCUCUAUCAUCAGGGAAGAAAAUGACGGUACCUGAGUAAGAAGCCCCGGCUAACUACGUGCCAGCAGCCGCGGGAAUACGUAGGGGGCAAGCGUUAUCCGGAUUUACUGGGUGGAAAGGGAGCGUAGACGGGAGUGCAAGUCAGGAGUGAAAGGCGGGGGCUCAACCCCCGGACUGCUCUUGAAACUGUACGGCUGGAGUGCAGGAGAGGUAAGUGGAAUUCCUGGUGUAGCGGUGAAAUGCGUAGAUAUUAAGAGGAACACCAGUGGCGAAGGCGGCUUACUGGACUGUAACUGACGUUGAGGCUCGAAAGCGUGGGGAGCAAACAGGAUUAGAUACCCCUGUAGUC
Molecule: ribosomal RNA, 440 nt
Filed under: uncultured bacterium
Lineage: Bacteria
Description: partial 16S ribosomal RNA
Rfam family: Bacterial small subunit ribosomal RNA
Source: RNAcentral